CAAUUUAUCGAGUUUGUUGAUCCUUGAGGUCAAGGAUCGAUUCAAGGGAGGGUGUAUGUUACAUGCUUCUUGAACGGUAGUUUUACGAGAAGGUUUGAAGAGUACGGGGUGUUGGGCUAAAGUUUCUUGGGCCUGGAAGAUAUAAGUUGACAGUAGUAUUUUAUUGGGCUUUUAUUUAGGUGUCUCGAUUUCAUUGUUAGAUUAGCAAGUCUUGUUAGUCAAAGUUUCAUUGUUGGGUAGUAAGUUUUGGAGUCAAAGAGUAGUAUUUUAGUCUCGAUUUGUACCUUCAGAGUCAUUAAGCAAAUAAUAGUCAAG
This 315-nucleotide long non-coding RNA is filed under the name Linum usitatissimum (flax). RNAcentral's name for it is "long non-coding RNA (LUSI_LNC004440)". The record is from RNAcentral. Lineage: Eukaryota; Viridiplantae; Streptophyta; Magnoliopsida; Malpighiales; Linaceae.